CAAUAGCGUAUAUUAAAGCUGUUGCGGUUAAAAAGCUCGUAGUUGGAUUUCUGUCAAGGACAACUGGUCCGCCCUCCGGGUGAGCACAUAGUUUGGUCUUGACAUCUUGCUGGAAGCUGUUGCUGCACUUGGCUGUGUGGCGCAGUGUUCAGCACUUUCACUUUGAGGAAAUUGGAGUGUUUCAAGCAGGCACAUGCCUUUGGACACAGUAGCAUGGAAUAAUUAGAUUGGGCUUUUGCUCCAAUUUGUCGGUUUCUGGAGCUGAGGUGAGUAUUAAUGGGGAUUGUUGGGGGCAUCCGAAUUUAGCCGUCAGAGGUGAAAUUCUUGGAUCUGCUAAAGACGGACAACUGCGAAAGCGUUUGCCCAGGAUGAUUUCAUUGA
This 381-nucleotide ribosomal RNA is filed under the name uncultured eukaryote. Its description in RNAcentral is "partial 18S ribosomal RNA". It matches the Rfam family "Eukaryotic small subunit ribosomal RNA", at positions 592 to 976 of the family's 1831-position model. The record is from RNAcentral.